Molecule: ribosomal RNA, 392 nt
Filed under: uncultured bacterium
Lineage: Bacteria
Description: bacterial SSU rRNA
Rfam family: Bacterial small subunit ribosomal RNA
Source: RNAcentral
GACGAACGCUGGCGGCGUGCUUAACACACGCAAGUCGAGCGGUAAGGCCCUUUCGGGGGUACACGAGCGGCGAACGGGUGAGUAACACGUGGGUGACCUGCCCUCAGCUCUGGGAUAAGCCUGGGAAACCGGGUCUAAUACCGGAUAUGACUCCAUGACGCAUGUUGUGGGGUGGAAAGCCUUGUGCGGCUGAGGAUGGGCCCGCGGCCUAUCAGCUUGUUGGUGGGGUGANGGCCUACCAAGGCGACGACGGGUAGCCGGCCUGAGAGGGCGACCGGCCACACUGGGACUGAGACACGGCCCAGACUCCUACGGGAGGGCAGCAGUGGGGAAUCUUGCGCAAUGGGCGAAAGCCUGACGCAGCGACGCCGCGUGAGGGAUGACGGCCUCGG